UGAGUUGAUGAAUAAAGGUUACUAGGACUA
This 30-nucleotide non-coding RNA is filed under the name Rattus norvegicus (Norway rat). The record is from RNAcentral. Lineage: Eukaryota; Metazoa; Chordata; Mammalia; Rodentia; Muridae.